GCCCAGGUGCUGGUGCUGAAGCAGGACUUGUUCUGUUUAAUCACAGUAGCUUCGCCUGAAGAAAAAUGGAUUUCCUGUGAAAAUCAGAAACUACUUCAGAACAGAGAGAGUGACUUGGAGCCCUUCCUCACCGAAUCCUUUCACCCAGUGUUUCCAGAUGAGAGAGAACUGGAUUAUCCCUCAACCCCGUCAAGAAAAACGCCGUGUUGCAGAACCAGGAAAAGAAGAUAAAGACCUUCAUGUAGAAUCUCCAGAGGAGUUACCAGGGACAAUCACUUCUACUGCUGUGUGUAGUGAUGGCCAGACCAACGUUUCAGCUCCACGAACCUGAUGGAUGCUGCAGGAUGUCGACAAUUUAGGCAAGGUGCCGAGGGCUUAGCAGUUUGAGGUGUGAUCCGCCGUCCUCUCAGUUUGCUUGGGCCAGCUUUGCUUGAAGGUGUGAGGAAGAGGAGCUCGAGGAGGGUUGACAGGAGGCCCAGACCCUGUGCAGCAGGUGAGCGUAGACUUCAGAAGUAUUUUAUUUUUAUCUACAGAUCUAGAAAUCGGUGCUCAGAGACUAAAAUUCCUGUGUAUGUAGAAACUCCUGUGCAGAACCUGUGUUUCUCGUCUCUUCAAGAGCGAAAACAUCAACCACAAAGUCCAUAAAACGUCGAGUCC
This 657-nucleotide long non-coding RNA is filed under the name Anas platyrhynchos (mallard). RNAcentral's name for it is "lncRNA (ENSAPLG00020009448.1)". The record is from RNAcentral. Lineage: Eukaryota; Metazoa; Chordata; Aves; Anseriformes; Anatidae.